This 253-nucleotide ribosomal RNA is filed under the name uncultured bacterium. RNAcentral describes it as "partial 16S ribosomal RNA". It matches the Rfam family "Bacterial small subunit ribosomal RNA", at positions 524 to 776 of the family's 1533-position model. The record is from RNAcentral.
UACGUAGGGGGCAAGCGUUGUCCGGAAUCAUUGGGCGUAAAGCGCGCGUAGGCGGUUACUUAAGUCGGAUGUGAAAGCCCUCGGCUUAACUGAGGAAGUGCACCCGAAACUGAGUAGCUGGAGUACGAAAGAGGGUCGCGGAAUUCCCGGUGUAGAGGUGAAAUUCGUAGAUAUCGGGAGGAACACCGGUGGCGAAGGCGGCGACCUGGGUCGAGACUGACGCUGAGGCGCGAAAGCGUGGGGAGCAAACAGG